Poecilia latipinna (sailfin molly) is the source of this 1751-nucleotide long non-coding RNA. RefSeq lists it as uncharacterized. The transcript has 3 exons. The record is from RefSeq and is a predicted model, not a curated record. Lineage: Eukaryota; Metazoa; Chordata; Actinopteri; Cyprinodontiformes; Poeciliidae.
GCGUGUUUCCACUCACCUUCAUCUUUCCAGUGAGAUUUAAUUCUUAAAUCCUUUGUGUUUAUAAAUUACAGUGAAGAGGUUUGGAUUUCUAUAAUUGUGAGAGGUAUCUUUUACAGAGAGUGGGUUUGGUACAUUGUCUGGUUUACAUCAACUCAACAGAUGUAAAUAAAUGAUGGCGGAGGGCGAAUACAGAACCUGAAUGAGACCAGCUGCAUCUUUCUAAUGUUUAACAACAAAUUUCUGCCUUUAUCUAUGUUUUAAAUGAACAGUUUUGUACAAUUCUGGGUUCCACAAUGUGACAAGAAGCCAUGUGUUCAUAAGUGGUUUAACUUCUCUGGUAGUAGAAAUCCUUCAGAGACAGCGUUUGAUUUAUUCUAAGGAAUGUCGGUUUCUGCUUUUCUGACAGAAUUAAGCUCAUUUAAACGCAGUCACUUAUUUUAGCUCAACUUACUGCUUUAAUCUUUUUGUUCAUUGAGUUUUUAGUUUUAUAUGAAAUCUUUAAAAAAAAGCAGCAAUUUUUGUGAAGAGACUUCUACGCCCUCAGAUUAACUGAUUUAUAACUAAAGUCGAAAUCCUCUGAAGUUGUAAUUUUAAACAAAUUGAGAUUUUGGAGGGAGAAACAGAAAGGUGAAAAUGUUACUGACUCAAUAAAAUUAUUAUUAUUUUUUACAUAUUUGGUUGUGUAAGUUUAAAUAAAAAUCUUUGAAACAUUAACAAUAUUACCUAAAGGUGGAAAAACCACAGAGUCAAUGGGUUUGUGAAUAAUAAUGUUAAAUAUGCAGAUGGUCCAACAGCUCUCCACCUGCAGAACAUUCUGCAUGUGUCUGAUUAACUGGGACAGCAAAGAUUAAAGCUGAUUAAUAUUUACAGCCGAGUCCAAACAUUUUUCUUCAAAACAAACAAAAAGCAAAAGGUGGAGAAGCUGUGACUUGUUUUUAUGCCAUUAGUGGGCAUCCACAACACAAACAAUAAGAAUAAAAGAAAGAAAAUCUGCAAUGUGGGGCAAUCAGAGUGCAGAGUGAUAAUAUUCAACUGAACCACAGACAGGGUUUGAUUUAUUCUAAGGUUCCUUAGAACGGUGCUACCAAAACAGGACCAGCGACAAUUCAACUGUGUUUAAACAGCUAAAAAGUCUAAAAUGCAGUAAACUCUAAUCCUAAAAUGGGCCUAAAAUAAAAUUCAUCUGCUCGAAUGGGAGGACGGCGAGAGGAGAGGGACAAAAAAAGGAUGAGUUUAAGGAUGAUGAGUUUAAACAGGAUGCUGAAGCAUUCAAAGAUGGUGAACGGUGAGUGCAGGUGGGGGAGUGGAGGGAAAGUUUCAGAGGUGAAACAGAGACAGCUGCAGGAGAAGAAAAGCUUACGGCUGCUAUGAGGGGAGAUGUGGAGAAAAUGGCAACAUGAAAACAGAUGAUGUGAGGAUAAUGGUGGCAUGGUGAAAAGAAGAAGACUGAUCAGAGGUAUAAUUAAAUUGGCUGCCAGGUGUUUCAUUUGAAUAGCUUUUUAAAGUGCUUUGAAAUAAUCCAUUAUCAGUGUUUUUCACUGAACUAAAGCGAUAUUUACAAAUCUUUUCAUAGUUAUUGUUUGUGAGGUGGGUGACUCACCAUGACAUCAUAAAUAAAAAAAUAAAAGUAAAGGAACCCUAAAGAUUUUCCACAGAAAAUUUCACAUCUUUAAAACAAGUUUUUUUUUUUUUUUUUUUACAGCAUAAACAAGUUAAAAGCAAUCUUCAAAGCCAUCUGUAGUAACACACUG